GACACAAUUUGAGCUUGCUAUAG
This 23-nucleotide non-coding RNA is filed under the name Cricetulus griseus (Chinese hamster). The record is from RNAcentral. Lineage: Eukaryota; Metazoa; Chordata; Mammalia; Rodentia; Cricetidae.